This 490-nucleotide ribosomal RNA is filed under the name uncultured bacterium. RNAcentral describes it as "partial 16S ribosomal RNA". It matches the Rfam family "Bacterial small subunit ribosomal RNA", at positions 30 to 507 of the family's 1533-position model. The record is from RNAcentral.
AUUGAACGCUGGCGGCAGGCCUAACACAUGCAAGUCGAACGGUAACAGGAAGCAGCUUGCUGCUUCGCUGACGAGUGGCGGACGGGUGAGUAAUGUCUGGGAAACUGCCUGAUGGAGGGGGAUAACUACUGGAAACGGUAGCUAAUACCGCAUAACGUCGCAAGACCAAAGAGGGGGACCUUAGGGCCUCUUGCCACCGGAUGUGCCCAGAUGGGAUUAGCUAGUAGGUGGGGUAACGGCUCACCUAGGCGACGAUCCCUAGCUGGUCUGAGAGGAUGACCAGCCACACUGGAACUGAGACACGGUCCAGACUCCUACGGGAGGCAGCAGUGGGGAAUAUUGCACAAUGGGCGCAAGCCUGAUGCAGCCAUGCCGCGUGUAUGAAGAAGGCCUUCGGGUUGUAAAGUACUUUCAGCGGGGAGGAAGGGAGUAAAGUUAAUACCUUUGCUCAUUGACGUUACCCGCAGAAGAAGCACCGGCUAACUCCGUG